This 1544-nucleotide ribosomal RNA is filed under the name Salmonella enterica subsp. enterica serovar Infantis. RNAcentral describes it as "bacterial SSU rRNA". It matches the Rfam family "Bacterial small subunit ribosomal RNA". The record is from RNAcentral. Lineage: Bacteria; Pseudomonadati; Pseudomonadota; Gammaproteobacteria; Enterobacterales; Enterobacteriaceae.
AAAUUGAAGAGUUUGAUCAUGGCUCAGAUUGAACGCUGGCGGCAGGCCUAACACAUGCAAGUCGAACGGUAACAGGAAGCAGCUUGCUGCUUUGCUGACGAGUGGCGGACGGGUGAGUAAUGUCUGGGAAACUGCCUGAUGGAGGGGGGAUAACUACUGGAAACGGUGGCUAAUACCGCAUAACGUCGCAAGACCAAAGAGGGGUGACCUUCGGGCCUCUUGCCAUCAGAUGUGCCCAGAUGGGAUUAGCUUGUUGGUGAGGUAACGGCUCACCAAGGCGACGAUCCCUAGCUGGUCUGAGAGGAUGACCAGCCACACUGGAACUGAGACACGGUCCAGACUCCUACGGGAGGCAGCAGUGGGGAAUAUUGCACAAUGGGCGCAAGCCUGAUGCAGCCAUGCCGCGUGUAUGAAGAAGGCCUUCGGGUUGUAAAGUACUUUCAGCGGGGAGGAAGGUGUUGUGGUUAAUAACCGCAGCAAUUGACGUUACCCGCAGAAGAAGCACCGGCUAACUCCGUGCCAGCAGCCGCGGUAAUACGGAGGGUGCAAGCGUUAAUCGGAAUUACUGGGCGUAAAGCGCACGCAGGCGGUCUGUCAAGUCGGAUGUGAAAUCCCCGGGCUCAACCUGGGAACUGCAUUCGAAACUGGCAGGCUUGAGUCUUGUAGAGGGGGGUAGAAUUCCAGGUGUAGCGGUGAAAUGCGUAGAGAUCUGGAGGAAUACCGGUGGCGAAGGCGGCCCCCUGGACAAAGACUGACGCUCAGGUGCGAAAGCGUGGGGAGCAAACAGGAUUAGAUACCCUGGUAGUCCACGCCGUAAACGAUGUCUACUUGGAGGUUGUGCCCUUGAGGCGUGGCUUCCGGAGCUAACGCGUUAAGUAGACCGCCUGGGGAGUACGGCCGCAAGGUUAAAACUCAAAUGAAUUGACGGGGGCCCGCACAAGCGGUGGAGCAUGUGGUUUAAUUCGAUGCAACGCGAAGAACCUUACCUGGUCUUGACAUCCACAGAAGAAUCCAGAGAUGGAUUUGUGCCUUCGGGAACUGUGAGACAGGUGCUGCAUGGCUGUCGUCAGCUCGUGUUGUGAAAUGUUGGGUUAAGUCCCGCAACGAGCGCAACCCUUAUCCUUUGUUGCCAGCGGUCCGGCCGGGAACUCAAAGGAGACUGCCAGUGAUAAACUGGAGGAAGGUGGGGAUGACGUCAAGUCAUCAUGGCCCUUACGACCAGGGCUACACACGUGCUACAAUGGCGCAUACAAAGAGAAGCGACCUCGCGAGAGCAAGCGGACCUCAUAAAGUGCGUCGUAGUCCGGAUUGGAGUCUGCAACUCGACUCCAUGAAGUCGGAAUCGCUAGUAAUCGUGGAUCAGAAUGCCACGGUGAAUACGUUCCCGGGCCUUGUACACACCGCCCGUCACACCAUGGGAGUGGGUUGCAAAAGAAGUAGGUAGCUUAACCUUCGGGAGGGCGCUUACCACUUUGUGAUUCAUGACUGGGGUGAAGUCGUAACAAGGUAACCGUAGGGGAACCUGCGGUUGGAUCACCUCCUUA